GCCUGUCGCUUGGAGACGGAGUGACUCCAAACGGGCUCACACGGUUUUCUGAGAAACAUAAAGGGAAACCGAAUCCACCAAUAUAUAUAUAUAUUUUCUUGAGACGGCGUCUCGCUCUGUCACCCAGGCUGGAGUGCAGUGGCGUGAUCUCGGCUCACUGCAAACUCCGCCUCCCGGGUUGACGCCAUUCUUCUGCCUCAGCCUCCCGAGUAGCUGGGACUACAGGCGCCCGCCGCCACGCCCGGCUAAUUUUUUUGUAUUUUAGUAGAGACGGGGAGUCACCGUGUUGCCCAGGCUGGUCGCGAACUCCUGAGCUCAGGCAAUCCGCCCGCCUUGGCCUCCCAAAGUGCUAGGAUUACAGGCGUGAGCCACCGCGCCCGGCCCACCAAUACUCAAUUGGUUUGACUUCAGUUGAGGAAACCAGAAAAAAUUUAAAUAUAUUUAUGGAAAGAAGCUAUUGGGAGAGUGGCUGAGUACUGAGUCUAUCACUACUUGGAUGAUACAGCUUCUGUCUUCAAGAUAAGCAGAAUUGUUCAGAAUCCACUGGAAUCCAAAUUCAACUUGGGCCUCAAUUUCUGCAGAUGGACACCUCUGGACUCCAAAAAAUCCAAGGACAUAAAAAACUUAAGCAGCCUUUAUUACAUUUAGUUCAACAAGUUUAAAGUAGUCUAAAACCAGCCUCUGCCUGAUCAAACUAGAAGGCCAGAAACAGAGGGCAGCUGAAGGAAACAGCUCACUCAAGAUGCCAACCAGGCCUCUGUUCAUGCCAUCAUGGAUAAGAUCUAUUUUUGAGGGUCUAAUUAAGUUAAGAACUA
RNAcentral lists this long non-coding RNA (815 nucleotides) under Homo sapiens (human). RNAcentral describes it as "non-protein coding lnc-ZNF891-2:4". Lineage: Eukaryota; Metazoa; Chordata; Mammalia; Primates; Hominidae. The record is from RNAcentral.